Molecule: ribosomal RNA, 484 nt
Filed under: uncultured bacterium
Lineage: Bacteria
Description: bacterial SSU rRNA
Rfam family: Bacterial small subunit ribosomal RNA
Source: RNAcentral
AGAGUUUGAUCCUGGUUCAGGAUGCACGCUGGCGGCGUGCUUAACACAUGCAAGUCGAACGAGGUCCAACCUUCGGGUGAAGACCGAGUGGCGAACGGGUGGGUAACACGUGGGGAACCUGCCCUUCUCUCUGGGAUAACGUCGAGAAAUCGGUGCUAAUACCGGAUACUCCUUGCGGAUCGCAUGGUCUGCUCGGGAAAGCUCCGGCGGAGAUGGAUGGCCCCGCGGCCCAUUAGCUAGUUGGUGAGGUAACGGCCCACCAAGGCGACGAUGGGUAGCCGAGCUGAGAGGCUGAUCGGCCACACUGGGACUGCGACACGGCCCAGACUCCUACGGGAGGCAGCAGUGGGGAAUUUUGCACAAUGGGCGAAAGCCUGAUGCAGCAACGCCGCGUGCGGGAUGAAGGCCCUCGGGUCGUAAACCGCUUUCAGCAGGGAUGAAAAUGACAGUACCUGCAGAAGAAGCCCCGGCUAAAUACGUGCCA